Long non-coding RNA from Oncorhynchus tshawytscha (Chinook salmon), 2001 nucleotides. RefSeq lists it as uncharacterized. The record is from RefSeq and is a predicted model, not a curated record. The transcript is spliced from 2 exons. NCBI's taxonomy places the organism in Eukaryota, Metazoa, Chordata, Actinopteri, Salmoniformes, Salmonidae.
UCUAUAUCUUCCUAGGUAUUUUUUUUACACUGGUGGGGGAGUACCAAGAUGGAGGCACGGUGGCUUCAAAACAGUGCCCCUUUAUUAGUCAUCUAGUGUAUAUAGAAAGCAUAGUGGUUUUUCAUGGUAUUUUUCAUUGUAGUUCAUAGAUUUCGGCACCAGACGGUGCUACUGAUACAUGCUGCGUUGCUAUAUGAAGCCGAUACACUGCAGAGCUGUUGAUGAAGGGGGUCACGACACAUUACACACACUGUUCUACUGUAGCGAGUCUCACUGCUUGGCUCUGCUCAGACCUACUGCACUAUAGGGGAUAGGGUGUCGUUUGUAGUGCAGACAAUGUUCCGUUUAGUUUUAGCUUUACAAAUUGUGUUUCUCAAUACAACUUUCCAUGAUAAUGUACGUUAGUUUAAUGUUAGUUUAAACCUUGACUUUUAAUUGCGAUGCUCUAGAAAUAUUCCAUCUGUGAUUCUAUCUAUGAUGACAUAUUUAGUUUGCUUCAGAUUUACGCCAUAUUAUCCACUAGAUAGCUGCUGUUUCCGGGGGUAGCCCAUCGAAUGGAAACUUAGAAACGUAUCAUCCAGACUAGCAAAGGACCAGCAAGAGAUGUGUCAUGUGUCCAACGUCCGUCCUCAUCCUUUUCUGUCUUGCAACUUCAAUGAAGUUAAUUAUUUAACUGUUCACGACACCCCUAUAUCCCUCGUUUAGCCUUUUGACCCGAUUGGCUAUAGGAACUGAUCAUAGGACUGACCUCUACUGUCUGCAGCUACUGACUCAAUGUUACUACCGCUACUGUCAAAAACUACUGUUUGUGUGCAAGUGAUAAUAAGGUAUGUUGUUUUGAAUGAAAUACAGGACAAUGAUCUCUAGAUACAGGUGAAUUACAGGACUAUGAUCUCUAAUGGUGAAAUACAGGACUAUGAUCUCUAAUGGUGAAAUACAGGACUAUGAUCUAUAAUGGUGAAAUACAGGCAUAUGAUCUCUAGAUACAGCUGAAAUACAGGACUAUGAUCUCUGAUACAGGACUAUGAUCUCUAAUGGUGAAAUACAGGACUAUGAUCUCUAAUGGUGAAAUACAGGACUAUGAUCUCUGAUACAGGACUAUGAUCUCUAAUGGUGAAAUACAGGACUAUGAUCUCUAAUGGUGAAAUACAGGACUAUGAUCUAUAAUGGUGAAAUACAGGACUAUGAUCUCUAAUACAGGUGAAAUACAGGACUAUGAUCUCUGAUACAGGACUAUGAUCUCUAAUGGUGAAAUACAGGACUAUGAUCUCUAAUGGUGAAAUACAGGACUAUGAUCUAUAAUGGUGAAAUACAGGACUAUGAUCUCUAAUGGUGAAAUACAGGACUAUGAUCUCUGAUACAGGACUAUGAUCUCUAAUGGUGAAAUACAGGACUAUGAUCUCUAGAUACAGCUGAAAUACAGGACUAUGAUCUCUGAUACAGGACAAUGAUCUCUAAGGAUGAAAUACAGGACUAUGAUCUCUGAUACAGGACUAUGAUCUCUAAUGGUGAAAUACAGGACUAUGAUGUCUAUGGAUGAAAUACAGGACUAUGAUCUCUAAUGGUGAAAUACAGGACUAUGAUCUCUAAGGAUGAAAUACAGGACUAUGAUCUCUAAUGGUGAAAUACAGGACUAUGAUCUCUAAUGGUGAAAUACAGGACUAUGAUCUCUAAUGGUGAAAUACAGGACUAUGAUCUCUAAUGGUGAAAUACAGGACAAUGAUCUCUAGAUACAGGUGAAUUACAGGACUAUAAUCUCUAAUGGUGAAAUACAGGACUAUGAUCUCUAAUGGUGAAAUACAGGACUAUGAUCUCUAAUGGUGAAAUACAGGACUAUGAUCUCUAAUGGUGAAAUACAGGACUAUGAUCUGUGAUGAUGAAAUGUAUAUCUGUGCUGUUUGAUCAUGACUACUUGAAUUACAUUUGGUGGAAAUACAUAACGACGAACGCUGUAAUACUUUCAGAUGUUUAUUGAAUAAAUACUGGCAGAUGUAUGACUCA